RNAcentral lists this ribosomal RNA (2904 nucleotides) under Escherichia coli. RNAcentral describes it as "23S ribosomal RNA". It matches the Rfam family "Bacterial large subunit ribosomal RNA". Lineage: Bacteria; Pseudomonadati; Pseudomonadota; Gammaproteobacteria; Enterobacterales; Enterobacteriaceae. The record is from RNAcentral.
GGUUAAGCGACUAAGCGUACACGGUGGAUGCCCUGGCAGUCAGAGGCGAUGAAGGACGUGCUAAUCUGCGAUAAGCGUCGGUGAGGUGAUAUGAACCGUUAUAACCGGCGAUUUCCGAAUGGGGAAACCCAGUGUGUUUCGACACACUAUCAUUAACUGAAUCCAUAGGUUAAUGAGGCGAACCGGGGGAACUGAAACAUCUAAGUACCCCGAGGAAAAGAAAUCAACCGAGAUUCCCCCAGUAGCGGCGAGCGAACGGGGAGGAGCCCAGAGCCUGAAUCAGUGUGUGUGUUAGUGGAAGCGUCUGGAAAGGCGUGCGAUACAGGGUGACAGCCCCGUACACAAAAAUGCACAUACUGUGAGCUCGAUGAGUAGGGCGGGACACGUGGUAUCCUGUCUGAAUAUGGGGGGACCAUCCUCCAAGGCUAAAUACUCCUGACUGACCGAUAGUGAACCAGUACCGUGAGGGAAAGGCGAAAAGAACCCCGGCGAGGGGAGUGAAAAAGAACCUGAAACCGUGUACGUACAAGCAGUGGGAGCCUCUUAAUGGGGUGACUGCGUACCUUUUGUAUAAUGGGUCAGCGACUUAUAUUCUGUAGCAAGGUUAACCGAAUAGGGGAGCCGAAGGGAAACCGAGUCUUAACUGGGCGUUAAGUUGCAGGGUAUAGACCCGAAACCCGGUGAUCUAGCCAUGGGCAGGUUGAAGGUUGGGUAACACUAACUGGAGGACCGAACCGACUAAUGUUGAAAAAUUAGCGGAUGACUUGUGGCUGGGGGUGAAAGGCCAAUCAAACCGGGAGAUAGCUGGUUCUCCCCGAAAGCUAUUUAGGUAGCGCCUCGUGAAUUCAUCUCCGGGGGUAGAGCACUGUUUCGGCAAGGGGGUCAUCCCGACUUACCAACCCGAUGCAAACUGCGAAUACCGGAGAAUGUUAUCACGGGAGACACACGGCGGGUGCUAACGUCCGUCGUGAAGAGGGAAACAACCCAGACCGCCAGCUAAGGUCCCAAAGUCAUGGUUAAGUGGGAAACGAUGUGGGAAGGCCCAGACAGCCAGGAUGUUGGCUUAGAAGCAGCCAUCAUUUAAAGAAAGCGUAAUAGCUCACUGGUCGAGUCGGCCUGCGCGGAAGAUGUAACGGGGCUAAACCAUGCACCGAAGCUGCGGCAGCGACACUAUGUGUUGUUGGGUAGGGGAGCGUUCUGUAAGCCUGUGAAGGUGGCCUGUGAGGGUUGCUGGAGGUAUCAGAAGUGCGAAUGCUGACAUAAGUAACGAUAAAGCGGGUGAAAAGCCCGCUCGCCGGAAGACCAAGGGUUCCUGUCCAACGUUAAUCGGGGCAGGGUGAGUCGACCCCUAAGGCGAGGCCGAAAGGCGUAGUCGAUGGGAAACAGGUUAAUAUUCCUGUACUUGGUGUUACUGCGAAGGGGGGACGGAGAAGGCUAUGUUGGCCGGGCGACGGUUGUCCCGGUUUAAGCGUGUAGGCUGGUUUUCCAGGCAAAUCCGGAAAAUCAAGGCUGAGGCGUGAUGACGAGGCACUACGGUGCUGAAGCGACAAAUGCCCUGCUUCCAGGAAAAGCCUCUAAGCAUCAGGUAACAUCAAAUCGUACCCCAAACCGACACAGGUGGUCAGGUAGAGAAUACCAAGGCGCUUGAGAGAACUCGGGUGAAGGAACUAGGCAAAAUGGUGCCGUAACUUCGGGAGAAGGCACGCUGAUAUGUAGGUGAAGCGACUUGCUCGUGGAGCUGAAAUCAGUCGAAGAUACCAGCUGGCUGCAACUGUUUAUUAAAAACACAGCACUGUGCAAACACGAAAGUGGACGUAUACGGUGUGACGCCUGCCCGGUGCCGGAAGGUUAAUUGAUGGGGUUAGCGGUAACGCGAAGCUCUUGAUCGAAGCCCCGGUAAACGGCGGCCGUAACUAUAACGGUCCUAAGGUAGCGAAAUUCCUUGUCGGGUAAGUUCCGACCUGCACGAAUGGCGUAAUGAUGGCCAGGCUGUCUCCACCCGAGACUCAGUGAAAUUGAACUCGCUGUGAAGAUGCAGUGUACCCGCGGCAAGACGGAAAGACCCCGUGAACCUUUACUAUAGCUUGACACUGAACAUUGAGCCUUGAUGUGUAGGAUAGGUGGGAGGCUUUGAAGUGUGGACGCCAGUCUGCAUGGAGCCGACCUUGAAAUACCACCCUUUAAUGUUUGAUGUUCUAACGUGGGCCCCUUACCGGGGUUGCGGACAGUGUCUGGUGGGUAGUUUGACUGGGGCGGUCUCCUCCUAAAGAGUAACGGAGGAGCACGAAGGUUGGCUAAUCCUGGUCGGACAUCAGGAGGUUAGUGCAAUGGCAUAAGCCAGCUUGACUGCGAGCGUGACGGCGCGAGCAGGUGCGAAAGCAGGUCAUAGUGAUCCGGUGGUUCUGAAUGGAAGGGCCAUCGCUCAACGGAUAAAAGGUACUCCGGGGAUAACAGGCUGAUACCGCCCAAGAGUUCAUAUCGACGGCGGUGUUUGGCACCUCGAUGUCGGCUCAUCACAUCCUGGGGCUGAAGUAGGUCCCAAGGGUAUGGCUGUUCGCCAUUUAAAGUGGUACGCGAGCUGGGUUUAGAACGUCGUGAGACAGUUCGGUCCCUAUCUGCCGUGGGCGCUGGAGAACUGAGGGGGGCUGCUCCUAGUACGAGAGGACCGGAGUGGACGCAUCACUGGUGUUCGGGUUGUCAUGCCAAUGGCACUGCCCGGUAGCUAAAUGCGGAAGAGAUAAGUGCUGAAAGCAUCUAAGCACGAAACUUGCCCCGAGAUGAGUUCUCCCUGACUCCUUGAGAGUCCUGAAGGAACGUUGAAGACGACGACGUUGAUAGGCCGGGUGUGUAAGCGCAGCGAUGCGUUGAGCUAACCGGUACUAAUGAACCGUGAGGCUUAACCUU